RNAcentral lists this long non-coding RNA (7960 nucleotides) under Xyrichtys novacula (pearly razorfish). The record is from RNAcentral. Lineage: Eukaryota; Metazoa; Chordata; Actinopteri; Labriformes; Labridae.
CUUGUGUUAAGCUGUAUUUUAAGUGUUCUUUUGAUGAGUUUGGCUUGUUCUUAUGAACAUUGUUUGUUUGGGCGAGUUUGAAGGUUUGUGAGCAUGUGUUAUGGCACGUAUGUGUUGAAUUAGUUAACCCUUGUGUUAAGCUGUUGUUUUAGUGUUCUUUUGAUGAGUUUGGCUUGUUGUUAUGAUCAUUGGUUGUUUUGGCGAGUUUGAAGGUUUGUGAGCAUGUGUAAUGGCAUGUAUGUGUUGAAUUGGCUACCUCUUGUGUUAAGCUGUUGUUUUAGUCUUCUUUUGAUGAGUUUGGAUUGUUGUUAUGAACAUUGUUCGUUUUGGCGAGUUUGAAGGUUUUUGAGCAUGUGUUAUGGCACGUAUGUGUUGAAUUGGCUACCCCUUGUGUUAAGCUGUUGUUUUAGUCUUCUUUUGAUGAGUUUGACGUGCUGUUAUGAACAUUUUUCGCUUUGGCGAGUUUGAAGGUUUUUGAGCAUGUGUUAUGGCACGUAUGUGUUGAAUUGGCUACCCCUUGUGUUAAGCUGUAUUUAAGUGUUCUUUUAAAGAGUUUGGCUUGUUGUUAUGAACAUUGUUUGUUUUGGCGAGUUUGAAGGUUUCUGAGCAUGUGUUAUGGCACGUAUGUGUUGAAUUGUCUGCCCCGUGUGUUAAGCUGUUGUUUUAGUCUUCUUUUGAUGAGCUUGGCUUGUUGUUAUGAACACUGUUUGUUUCAGCGAAUUUGAAGGUUUUUGAGCAUGUGUAAUGGCACGUAUGUGUUGAAUUGGCUACCCCUUGUGUUAAGCUGUAUUUUAAGUGUUCUUUUAAAGAGUUUGGCUUGUUGUUAUGAACAUUGUUUGUUUUGGCGAGUUUGAAGGUUUUUGAGCAUGUGUUAUGGCACGUAUGUGUUGAAUUGUCUGCCCCGUGUGUUAAGCUGUUGUUUUAGUCUUCUUUUGAUGAGCUUGGCUUGUUGUUAUGAACACUGUUUGUUUCAGCGAAUUUGAAGGUUUUUGAGCAUGUGUAAUGGCAUGUAUGUGUUGAAUUAGUUAACCCUUGUGUUAAGCUGUUGUUUUAGUCUUCUUUUGAUGAGUUUGGCGUGCUGUUAUGAACAUUGUUCGUUUUGGCGAGUUUGAAGGUUUUUGAGCAUGUGUUAUGGCACGUAUGUGUUGAAUUGGCUACCCCUUGUGUUAAGCUGUAUUUUAAGUGUUCAUUUAAUGAGUUUGGCUUUUUGUUAUGAACAUUGUUUGUUUAUGGCGAGUUUGAAGGUUUUUGAGCAUGUGUAAUGGCAUGUAUGUGUUGAAUUAGUUAACCCUUGUGUAAAGCUGUUGUUUUAGUGUUCUUUUGAUGAGUUUGGCUUGUUGUUAUGAUCAUUGCUUGUUUGGGCAAGUUGGAAGGUUUUUGAGCAUGUGUAAUGGCAUGUAUGUGUUGAAUUCGUUAACCCUUGUGUUAAGCUGUAUUUUAAGUGUUCUUUUGAUGAGUUUGGCGUGCAGUUAUGAACAUUGUUCGUUUUGGCGAAUUUGAAGGUUUUUGAGCAUGUGUUAUGGCAUGUAUGUGUUGAAUUAGUUAACCCUUGUGUUAAGCUGUUGUUUUAGUGUUCUUUUGAUGAGUUUGGCUUGUUGUUAUGAUCAUCGUUUGUUUUGGUGAGUUUGAAGGUUUCUGAGCAUGUGUUAUGGCACGUAUGUGUUGAAUUGGCUACCCCUUGUGUAAAGCUAUAUUUUAAGUGUUCUUUUAAAGAGUUUGGCUUGUUGUUAUGAACAUUAAUUGUUAUGGCGAGUUUGAAGGUUUCUGAGCAUGUGUUAUGGCACGUAUGUGUUGAAUUGGCUACCCCUUCUGUUAAGCUGUAUUUUAAGUGUUCUUUUGAUGAGUUUGGCUUGUUGUUAUGAUCAUUGUUUAUUAUGGCGAGUUUGAAGGUUUGUGAGCAUGUGUAAUGGCACGUAUGUGUUGAAUUAGUUCACCCUUGUGUUAAGCUGUUGUUUUAGUGUUCUUUUGAUGAGUUUGGCUUGUUGUUAUGAUCAUUGGUUGUUUUGGCGAGUUUGAAGGUUUGUGAGCAUGUGUAAUGGCAUGUAUGUGUUGAAUUGGCUACCUCUUGUGUUAAGCUGUUGUUUUAGUCUUCUUUUGAUGAGUUUGGCUUGUUGUUAUGAACAUUGUUUGUUUUGGAAAGUUUGAAGGUUUUUGAGCAUGUGUAAUGGCAUGUAUGUGUUAACCCUUGUGUUAAGCUGUUGUUUUAGUGUUCUUUUGAUGAGUUUGGCUUGUUGUUAUGAUCAUUGUUUGUUUUGGCGAGUUUGAAGGUUUUUGAGCAUGUGUUAUGGCACGUAUGUGUUGAAUUGGAUACCCCUUGUGUUAAGCUGUUGUUUUAGUCUUCUUUUUAUCAGUUUGGCAUGUUGUUAUGAACAUUGUUUUGGCGAGUUUGAAGGUUUUUGAGCAUGUGUAAUGGCACGUAUGUGUUGAAUUAGUUAACCCUUGUGUUAAGCUGUUGUUUUAGUGUUCUUUUGAUGAGUGUGGCGUGUUGUUAUGAACAUUGUUCGUUUUGGCUAGUUUGAAGGUUUUUGAGCAUGUGGUAUGGCAUGUAUGUGGUGAAUUGGCUACCCCUUGUGUGAAGCUGUAUUUUAAGUGUUCUUUUAAAGAGUUUGGCUUGUUGUUAUGAACAUUGUUUGUUUUGGCGAGUUUGAAGGUUUCUGAGCAUGUGUUAUGGCACGUAUGUGUUGAAUUGGCUACCCCUUGUGUUAAGCUGUAUUUUAAGUGUUCUUUUGAUGAGUUUGGCUUUUUGUUAUGAUCAUUGUUUAUUAUGGCGAGUUUGAAGGUUUGUGAGCAUGUGUAAUGGCAUGUCUGUGUUGAAUUAGUUCACCCUUGUGUUAAGCUGUUGUUUUAGUGUUCUUUUGAUGAGUUUGGCUUGUUCUUAUGAUCAUUGUUUGUUUUGGCGAGUUUGAAGGUUUGUGAGCAUGUUUAAUGGCACGUAUGUGUUGAAUUGGCUCCCUCUUGUGUUAAGCUGUUGUUUUAGUCUUCUUUUGAUGAGUUUGGCUUGUUGUUAUGAACAUUGUUUGUUUUGGCGAGUCUGAAGGUUUUUGAGCAUGUGUAAUGGCAUGUAUGUGUUAACCCUUGUGUUAAGCUGUUGUUUUAGUCUUCUUUUGUUGAGUUUGGCUUGUUGUUAUGAACAUUGUUUGUUUUGGCGAGUUUAAAGGUUUUUGAGCAUGUGUAAUGGCAUGUAUGUGUUGAAUUGUCUGCCCCGUGUGUUAAGCUGUUGUUUUAGUCUUCUUUUGAUGAGCUUGGCUUGUUGUUAUGAACACUGUUUGUUUCAGCGAAUUUGAAGGUUUUUGAGCAUGUGUAAUGGCAUGUAUGUGUUGAAUUAGUUAACCCUUGUGUUAAGCUGUUGUUUUAGUCUUCUUUUGAUGAGUUUGGCGUGCUGUUAUGAACAUUGUUCGUUUUGGCGAGUUUGAAGGUUUUUGAGCAUGUGUUAUGGCACGUAUGUGUUGAAUUGGCUACCCCUUGUGUUAAGCUGUAUUUUAAGUGUUCAUUUAAAGAGUUUGGCUUUUUGUUAUGAACAUUGUUUGUUUAUGGCGAGUUUGAAGGUUUUUGAGCAUGUGUAAUGGCAUGUAUGUGUUGAAUUAGUUAACCCUUGUGUAAAGCUGUUGUUUUAGUGUUCUUUUGAUGAGUUUGGCUUGUUGUUAUGAUCAUUGCUUGUUUGGGCAAGUUGGAAGGUUUUUGAGCAUGUGUAAUGGCAUGUAUGUGUUGAAUUCGUUAACCCUUGUGUUAAGCUGUAUUUUAAGUGUUCUUUUGAUGAGUUUGGCGUGCAGUUAUGAACAUUGUUCGUUUUGGCGAAUUUGAAGGUUUUUGAGCAUGUGUUAUGGCAUGUAUGUGUUGAAUUAGUUAACCCUUGUGUUAAGCUGUUGUUUUAGUGUUCUUUUGAUGAGUUUGGCUUGUUGUUAUGAUCAUCGUUUGUUUUGGUGAGUUUGAAGGUUUCUGAGCAUGUGUUAUGGCACGUAUGUGUUGAAUUGGCUACCCCUUGUGUAAAGCUAUAUUUUAAGUGUUCUUUUAAAGAGUUUGGCUUGUUGUUAUGAACAUUAAUUGUUAUGGCGAGUUUGAAGGUUUCUGAGCAUGUGUUAUGGCACGUAUGUGUUGAAUUGGCUACCCCUUCUGUUAAGCUGUAUUUUAAGUGUUCUUUUGAUGAGUUUGGCUUGUUGUUAUGAUCAUUGUUUAUUAUGGCGAGUUUGAAGGUUUGUGAGCAUGUGUAAUGGCACGUAUGUGUUGAAUUAGUUCACCCUUGUGUUAAGCUGUAGUUUUAGUGUUCUUUUGAUGAGUUUGGCUUGUUGUUAUGAUCAUUGGUUGUUUUGGCGAGUUUGAAGGUUUGUGAGCAUGUGUAAUGGCAUGUAUGUGUUGAAUUGGCUACCUCUUGUGUUAAGCUGUUGUUUUAGUCUUCUUUUGAUGAGUUUGGCUUGUUGUUAUGAACAUUGUUUGUUUUGGAAAGUUUGAAGGUUUUUGAGCAUGUGUAAUGGCAUGUAUGUGUUAACCCUUGUGUUAAGCUGUUGUUUUAGUGUUCUUUUGAUGAGUUUGGCUUGUUGUUAUGAUCAUUGUUUGUUUUGGCGAGUUUGAAGGUUUUUGAGCAUGUGUUAUGGCACGUAUGUGUUGAAUUGGAUACCCCUUGUGUUAAGCUGUUGUUUUAGUCUUCUUUUUAUCAGUUUGGCAUGUUGUUAUGAACAUUGUUUUGGCGAGUUUGAAGGUUUUUGAGCAUGUGUAAUGGCACGUAUGUGUUGAAUUAGUUAACCCUUGUGUUAAGCUGUUGUUUUAGUGUUCUUUUGAUGAGUGUGGCGUGUUGUUAUGAACAUUGUUCGUUUUGGCUAGUUUGAAGGUUUUUGAGCAUGUGGUAUGGCAUGUAUGUGGUGAAUUGGCUACCCCUUGUGUGAAGCUGUAUUUUAAGUGUUCUUUUAAAGAGUUUGGCUUGUUGUUAUGAACAUUGUUUGUUUUGGCGAGUUUGAAGGUUUCUGAGCAUGUGUUAUGGCACGUAUGUGUUGAAUUGGCUACCCCUUGUGUUAAGCUGUAUUUUAAGUGUUCUUUUGAUGAGUUUGGCUUGUUGUUAUGAUCAUUGUUUAUUAUGGCGAGUUUGAAGGUUUGUGAGCAUGUGUAAUGGCAUGUCUGUGUUGAAUUAGUUCACCCUUGUGUUAAGCUGUUGUUUUAGUGUUCUUUUGAUGAGUUUGGCUUGUUCUUAUGAUCAUUGUUUGUUUUGGCGAGUUUGAAGGUUUGUGAGCAUGUUUAAUGGCACGUAUGUGUUGAAUUGGCUCCCUCUUGUGUUAAGCUGUUGUUUUAGUCUUCUUUUGAUGAGUUUGGCUUGUUGUUAUGAACAUUGUUUGUUUUGGCGAGUCUGAAGGUUUUUGAGCAUGUGUAAUGGCAUGUAUGUGUUAACCCUUGUGUUAAGCUGUUGUUUUAGUCUUCUUUUGAUGAGUUUGGCUUGUUGUUAUGAACAUUGUUUGUUUUGGCGAGUUUAAAGGUUUUUGAGCAUGUGUAAUGGCAUGUAUGUGUUGAAUUGUCUGCCCCGUGUGUUAAGCUGUUGUUUUAGUCUUCUUUUGAUGAGCUUGGCUUGUUGUUAUGAACACUGUUUGUUUCAGCGAAUUUGAAGGUUUUUGAGCAUGUGUAAUGGCAUGUAUGUGUUGAAUUAGUUAACCCUUGUGUUAAGCUGUUGUUUUAGUCUUCUUUUGAUGAGUUUGGCGUGCUGUUAUGAACAUUGUUCGUUUUGGCGAGUUUGAAGGUUUUUGAGCAUGUGUAAUGGCACGUAUGUGUUGAAUUGGCUACCUCUUGUGUUAAGCUGUUGUUUUAGUCUUCUUUUGAUGAGUUUGGCUUGUUCUUAUGAUCAUUGUUUGCUUUGGCGAGUUUGAAGGUUUGUGAGCAUGUUUAAUGGCACGUAUGUGUUGAAAUGGCUCCCUCUUGUGUUAAGCUGUUGUUUUAGUCUUCUUUUGAUGAGUUUGGCUUGUUGUUAUGAACAUUGUUUGUUUUGGCGAGUCUGAAGGUUUUUGAGCAUGUGUAAUGGCAUGUAUGUGUUAACCCUUGUGUUAAGCUGUUGUUUUAGUCUUCUUUUGAUGAGUUUGGCUUGUUGUUAUGAACAUUGUUUGUUUUGGCGAGUUUAAAGGUUUUUGAGCAUGUGUAAUGGCAUGUAUGUGUUGAAUUAGUUAACCCUUGUGUUAAGCUGUUGUUUUAGUCUUCUUUUUAUCAGUUUGGCUUGUUGUUAUGAACAUUGUUUGUUUGGGCGAGUUUGAAGGUUUUUGAGCAUGUGUAAUGGCAUGUAUGUGUUGAAUUAGUUAACCCUUGUGUUAAGCUGUAUUUUAAGUGUUCUUUUAAACAGUUUGGCUUAUUGUUAUUAUCAUUGUUUGUUUUGUCGAGUUUGAAGGUUUUUGAGCAUGUGUAAUGGCAUGUAUGUGUUGAAUUAGUUAACUCUUGUGUUAAGCUGUUGUUUUAGUCUUCUUUUGAUGAGUAUGGCUUGUUGUUAUGAUCAUUGUUCGUUUUGGCAAGUUUGAAGGUUUGUGAGCAUGUGUUAUGGCACGCAUGUGUUGAAUUGGCUACCUCUUGUGUUUAGCUGUAUUUUAAGUGUUCUUUUAAAGAGUUUGGCUUGUUGUUAUGAACAUUGUUUGUUUUGGCGAGUUUGAAGGUUUGUGAGCAUUUGUAAUGGCAUGUAUGUGUUGAAUUAGUUAACCCUUAUGUUAAGCUGUUGUUUUAGUGUUCUUUUGAUGAGUUUGGCGUGUUGUUAUGAACAUUGUUCGCUUUGGUGAGUUUGAAGGUUUUUGAGCAUGUGUUAUGGCACGUAUGUGUUGAAUUGGCUACCCCUUGUGUUAAGCUGUAUUUUAAGUGUUCAUUUAAAGAGUUUGGCUUUUUGUUAUGAACAUUGUUUGUUUUUGGAGAGUUUGAAGGUUUUUGAGCAUGUGUUAUGGCACGUAUGUGUUGAAUUGGCUACCCCUUGUGUUAAGCUGUUGUUUUAGUCUUCUUUUUAUGAGGUUGGCUUGUUGUUAUGAACAUUGUUUGUUUUGGCGAGUUUGAAGGUUUUUGAGCAUGUGUAAAUGGCAUGUAUGUGUUGAAUUAGUUAACCCUUGUGUUAAGCUGUUGUUUUAGUUUUCUUUUGAUGAGUUUGGCUUGUUGUUAUGAACAUUGUUUGUUUUGGCAAGUUUGAAGGUUUUUGAGCAUGUGUAAUGGCACGUAUGUGUUGAAUUGGCUACCUCUUGUGUUAAGCUGUUGUUUUAGUCUUCUUUUGAUGAGUUUGGCUUGUUGUUAUGAACACUGUUUGUUUCGGCGAGUUUGAAGGUUUUUGAGCAUGUGUAAUGGCAUGUAUGUGUUGAAUUAGUUAACCCUUGUGUUAAGCUGUUGUUUUAGUCUUCUUUUUAUGAGGUUGGCUUGUUGUUAUGAACAUUGUUUGUUUUGGCGAGUUUGAAGGUUUUUGAGCAUGUGUAAAUGGCAUGUAUGUGUUGAAUUAGUUAACCCUUGUGUUAACUGUUGUUUUAGUUUUCUUUUGAUGAGUUUGGCUUGUUGUUAUGAACAUUGUUUGUUUUGGCAAGUUUGAAGGUUUUUGAGCAUGUGUAAUGGCACGUAUGUGUUGAAUUGGCUACCUCUUGUGUUAAGCUGUUGUUUUAGUCUUCUUUUGAUGAGUUUGGCUUGUUGUUAUGAACACUGUUUGUUUCGGCGAGUUUGAAGGUUUUUGAGCAUGUGUAAUGGCAUGUAUGUGUUGAAUUAGUUAACCCUUGUGUUAAGCUGUUGUUUUAGUCUUCUUUUGAUGAGUUUGGCUUGUUGUUAUGAACAUUGUUUGUUUUGGCGAGUUUGAAGGUUUUUGAGCAUGUGUCAAGACAUGUAUGUGUUGAAUUAGUUAACCCUUGUGUUAAGCUGUUGUUUUAGUGUUCUUUUGAUGAGUUUGUCUUGUUGUUAUGAACAUUGUGUGUUUUGGCGAGUUUGAAGGUUUUUGAGCAUGUGUAUUGGCAUGUAUGUGUUGAAUUAGUUAACCCUUGUGUUAAGC